This 301-nucleotide ribosomal RNA is filed under the name uncultured bacterium. RNAcentral's name for it is "partial 16S ribosomal RNA". It matches the Rfam family "Bacterial small subunit ribosomal RNA", at positions 509 to 807 of the family's 1533-position model. The record is from RNAcentral.
CAGUAGCCGCGGGAAAACGUAGGGUGCAAGCGUUAAUCGGAAUUACUGGGCGUAAAGCGUGCGCAGGCGGUGUUGUAAGACUGAUGUGAAAUCCCCGGGCUCAACCUGGGAACUGCAUUGGUGACUGCAACGCUGGAGUGCGGCAGAGGGGGAUGGAAUUCCGCGUGUAGCAGUGAAAUGCGUAGAUAUGCGGAGGAACACCGAUGGCGAAGGCAAUCCCCUGGGCCUGCACUGACGCUCAUGCACGAAAGCGUGGGGAGCAAACAGGAUUAGAUACCCCCGUAGUCCCUGUCUCUUAUAC